UUAAACUGAAGAGUUUGAUCAUGGCUCAGAUUGAACGCUGGCGGCAGGCCUAACACAUGCAAGUCGAGCGGUAACAGAUCUAGCUUGCUAGAUGCUGACGAGCGGCGGACGGGUGAGUAAUGCAUAGGAAUCUGCCCGGUAGUGGGGGAUAACCUGGGGAAACCCAGGCUAAUACCGCAUACGUCCUAC
Molecule: ribosomal RNA, 189 nt
Filed under: Vreelandella sulfidaeris
Lineage: Bacteria; Pseudomonadati; Pseudomonadota; Gammaproteobacteria; Oceanospirillales; Halomonadaceae
Description: Halomonas sulfidaeris partial 16S ribosomal RNA
Rfam family: Bacterial small subunit ribosomal RNA
Source: RNAcentral